UACGGGGGGGGCAAGCGUUGUUCGGAAUUACUGGGCGUAAAGGGUCCGUAGGUGGCUUGCUAAGUCAGACGUGAAAUCCCCCGGCUUAACCUGGGAACUGCGUCUGAUACUGGGAGGCUUGAGUAUGGGAGAGGGAUGUAGAAUUCCAGGUGUAGCGGUGAAAUGCGUAGAUAUCUGGAGGAAUACCGGUGGCGAAGGCGGCAUCCUGGACCAUAACUGACGCUGAGGCGCGAAAGCUAGGGGAGCAAACGGG
Molecule: ribosomal RNA, 253 nt
Filed under: uncultured bacterium
Lineage: Bacteria
Description: partial 16S ribosomal RNA
Rfam family: Bacterial small subunit ribosomal RNA
Source: RNAcentral